CUGAUCACUGGUUAACCACAAUACCAGCACACCCACGUCGUCCUGGUUCUGAAAACAAGACCAGAUUGUUUCGGUAGUAGUAACCUUUUAAACACAGGCGGCAUAGAAGUCCAUUUUUUUUUAAAAUCAUGGUUGGGAGUGGACACAUCAUACAUCAUAUGACACGAUUUGAAUGACAACGGAGCAGUCGUUGAGUCAUUUGGAGGAACGUAUAUAUUUACAAUGAAGUGUUUGACCAUCAUAAUGAACCUGCAAGGUCUACAAGUGCAAAUUCGUAUUGAUCUUCUUUGUUUUUUUAAACUUGACAGGGAUGUGUAAGUGUUCACCGCCAUUACCAGAUACGAGGGUAUCCUGGUCCCAGACAGGCCUCUGUGCUCUUGUCAACUUCAUUGCUGUCAAACGGCAUGACUAUGAGCGACGGGGAGAUGGCAUGAUAGCACAAACACACUGGCUAGGACAAGGGUAGUCUUUGAACUAUUUUAUGAUGCUUUAAAUACAGAACACAAACAAUAGUCAUAGACUAUCCAAAUAAAUGGAAAUACAUGGUCUAGAUGCUCUACAGAUGGUCAUACAAUCAACAGACUGUUGAUAAGCAACUGCUUGCUAAGGUUACGGUUAGGGUAGGGGUUGGGGUAGGGGUUAGGGUAGGGUAGGGGUUAGGGUAGGGAUGGGGUAGGGGUUAGGGUAGGGGUUAGGGUAGGGGUUAGGGUAGGGGUUAGGGUAGGGUAGGGGUUAGGUUUACAAUAGAUGUUAGGGUAGGGGUUAGGGUAGGGGUUAGGUUUACAAUAAGGGUUAGGGUAGGGGUUAGGUUUAGAAUAAGGGUUAGGGUAGGGGUU
This is a long non-coding RNA of Oncorhynchus tshawytscha (Chinook salmon), 836 nucleotides long. Lineage: Eukaryota; Metazoa; Chordata; Actinopteri; Salmoniformes; Salmonidae. The record is from Ensembl.